This 74-nucleotide transfer RNA is filed under the name Rhizobium ruizarguesonis. Its description in RNAcentral is "tRNA-Gln". It matches the Rfam family "tRNA". From Rfam's summary of the family: Transfer RNA (tRNA) molecules are approximately 80 nucleotides in length. The record is from RNAcentral. Lineage: Bacteria; Pseudomonadati; Pseudomonadota; Alphaproteobacteria; Hyphomicrobiales; Rhizobiaceae.
UAGGGAAUAGUUCAAUGGUAGAACAGCGGACACUGACUCCGUCGAUCUUAGUUCGAAUCCAGGUUCCCCAGCCA